RNAcentral lists this long non-coding RNA (363 nucleotides) under Parus major (Great Tit). RNAcentral's name for it is "lncRNA (ENSPMJG00000013138.1)". The record is from RNAcentral. Lineage: Eukaryota; Metazoa; Chordata; Aves; Passeriformes; Paridae.
UUUCUAGAGAAAAUCUGAAGGAGACAAUUGCAAUAAAUGUGAUGAGAAGACCAUUAGUUACAGCAGUGAAACCAACCUCUGAGUAGACUGGGCAUUUAACUCCUGCUGCAAGUCAAAACUGCCAAAGUAAUCAGUGGGAAGAAGGAAGACUCAAACACACAAAGAUACAAACAUGCAAAGCUCCAGGAGGGAGAAUCAAUUCUUGCUGAAGACCAUUUGCUCAUCCAUCUCUGUUUGCCAGGGCCUUUUUGGAGUAAUUAAGCAUUGGCUGCUGAUUAACAGUGAGGUCUGAUGCUGUAAAGAGCCUCUGAAAACCCCCAAAUUCCUGAUUACACCUUGGGAUGCAGAUUGGCCUCAACCACC